GCAUUGCUGAGAAGUCCCAUAAUAGGACGAAACGGUCGUCCAGUGC
This 46-nucleotide non-coding RNA is filed under the name Schistosoma mansoni. Lineage: Eukaryota; Metazoa; Platyhelminthes; Trematoda; Strigeidida; Schistosomatidae. The record is from RNAcentral.